CGGCCUUAGUGGCGCACGGGUGCGUAACGCGUGGGAAUCUGCCCUUGGGUUCGGAAUAACUGGGAGAAAUUCCUGCUAAUACCGGAUGAUGACGUAAGUCCAAAGAUUUAUCGCCCAAGGAUGAGCCCGCGUCGGAUUAGCUUGUUGGUGAGGUAAAAGCUCACCAAGGCGACGAUCCGUAGCUGGUCUGAGAGGAUGAUCAGCCACACUGGGACUGAGACACGGCCCAGACUCCUACGGGAGGCAGCAGUGGGGAAUAUUGGACAAUGGGCGAAAGCCUGAUCCAGCAAUGCCGCGUGAGUGAUGAAGGCCUUAGGGUUGUAAAGCUCUUUUACCCGGGAUGAUAAUGACAGUACCGGGAGAAUAAGCCCCGGCUAACUCCGUGCCAGCAGCCGCGGUAAUACGGAGGGGGCUAGCGUUGUUCGGAAUCACUGGGCGUAAAGCGCACGUAGGCGGCGAUCUAAGUCAGAGGUGAAAGCCCGGAGCUCAACCCCGGAAUUGCCUUUGAGACUGGAUUGCUUGAACGUCGGAGAGGUGGGUGGAAUUCCGAGUGUAGAGGUGAAAUUCGUAGAUAUUCGGAAGAACACCAGUGGCGAAGGCGGCCCACUGGAC
This 612-nucleotide ribosomal RNA is filed under the name uncultured Sphingomonas sp. Its description in RNAcentral is "bacterial SSU rRNA". It matches the Rfam family "Bacterial small subunit ribosomal RNA", at positions 87 to 734 of the family's 1533-position model. Lineage: Bacteria; Pseudomonadati; Pseudomonadota; Alphaproteobacteria; Sphingomonadales; Sphingomonadaceae. The record is from RNAcentral.